RNAcentral lists this ribosomal RNA (469 nucleotides) under uncultured Pseudomonadota bacterium. Its description in RNAcentral is "bacterial SSU rRNA". It matches the Rfam family "Bacterial small subunit ribosomal RNA", at positions 33 to 497 of the family's 1533-position model. Lineage: Bacteria; Pseudomonadati; Pseudomonadota. The record is from RNAcentral.
ACGCUGGCGGUAGGCUUAACACAUGCAAGUCGAGCGAGAAAGUACCUUCGGGUACGAGUAGAGCGGCGGACGGGUGAGUAACGCGUAGGAAUCUACCUAGUAGAAGGGGAUAGCCCGAGGAAACUCGGAUUAAUACCGUAUACCUCCUUAGGGAGAAAGAGGGCUUAGCUUUGAUGCUCUCGCUAUUAGAUGAGCCUGCGUAAGAUUAGCUUGUUGGUGAGGUAAUGGCUCACCAAGGCGACGAUCUUUAGCUGGUCUGAGAGGACGAUCAGCCACAUUGGGACUGAGACACGGCCCAGACUCCUACGGGAGGCAGCAGUGGGGAAUAUUGGACAAUGGGCGCAAGCCUGAUCCAGCCAUACCGCGUGUGUGAAGAAGGCUUUCGGGUUGUAAAGCACUUUAAGUAAGGAGGAAAAGGUUAUAGAUAAUACCUGUAACCCGUGACGUUACUUACAGAAUAAGGACCGGC